CCUACGGGGUGCUGCAGUGGGGAAUAUUGGACAAUGGGCGAAAGCCUGAUCCAGCCAUGCCGCGUGUGUGAAGAAGGCCUUCGGGUUGUAAAGCACUUUCAGUGGGGAAGAAAGCCUUGGGGCUAAUACCCUCGAGGAAGGACAUCACCCACAGAAGAAGCACCGGCUAACUCCGUGCCAGCAGCCGCGGUAAUACGGAGGGUGCGAGCGUUAAUCGGAAUUACUGGGCGUAAAGCGCGCGUAGGCGGUCUGAUAAGCCGGUUGUGAAAGCCCCGGGCUCAACCUGGGAACGGCAUCCGGAACUGUCAGGCUAGAGGGCAGGAGAGGAAGGUAGAAUUCCCGGUGUAGCGGUGAAAUGCGUAGAGAUCGGGAGGAAUACCAGUGGCGAAGGCGGCCUUCUGGACUGACACUGACGCUGAGGUGCGAAAGCGUGGGUAGCAAACAGGAUUAGAUACCCGUGUAGUC
RNAcentral lists this ribosomal RNA (465 nucleotides) under Vreelandella stevensii. Its description in RNAcentral is "partial 16S ribosomal RNA". It matches the Rfam family "Bacterial small subunit ribosomal RNA", at positions 338 to 795 of the family's 1533-position model. Lineage: Bacteria; Pseudomonadati; Pseudomonadota; Gammaproteobacteria; Oceanospirillales; Halomonadaceae. The record is from RNAcentral.